RNAcentral lists this small RNA (78 nucleotides) under Novosphingobium sp. AP12. RNAcentral's name for it is "Makes More Granules Regulator RNA (mmgR)". It matches the Rfam family "Makes More Granules Regulator RNA (mmgR)". Rfam says of the family: SuhB later renamed mmgR (makes more granules regulator) was a putative non-coding RNA found multiple times in the Agrobacterium tumefaciens genome and related alpha-proteobacteria. Lineage: Bacteria; Pseudomonadati; Pseudomonadota; Alphaproteobacteria; Sphingomonadales; Sphingomonadaceae. The record is from Rfam by way of RNAcentral.
AGACAGUGCCUUUCAGGCAUCCUCUCCCAAAACUUCCAAGGCCCGGUCGGCAACGAUCGGGCCAUUUUUUUGCCUAAA